Molecule: ribosomal RNA, 301 nt
Filed under: uncultured bacterium
Lineage: Bacteria
Description: partial 16S ribosomal RNA
Rfam family: Bacterial small subunit ribosomal RNA
Source: RNAcentral
CAGUCGCCGCGGGAAUACGAAGGGUGCAAGCGUUAAUCGGAAUUACUGGGCGUAAAGGGAGCGUAGGCGGACAUUUAAGUCAGGGGUGAAAUCCCAGAGCUCAACUCUGGAACUGCCUUUGAUACUGGGUGUCUUGAGUGUGAUAGAGGUAUGUGGAACUCCGAGUGUAGAGGUGAAAUUCGUAGAUAUUCGGAAGAACACCAGUGGCGAAGGCGACAUACUGGAUCAUUACUGACGCUGAGGCUCGAAAGCGUGGGGAGCAAACAGGAUUAGAUACCCGAGUAGUCCCUGUCUCUUAUAC